GUUUGGAUUUAGACUACAACAUAGCUGUUAAGUGCUGUAUUGUCAUUCCCUCUGCUCAAAAUAAAGUUGUUUCUUGACUGUAUCUGUCUGCUAUUCCCCUGUAGCAGCCAGGGACACUUGGCCUCAUACAU
This is a small nucleolar RNA of Vulpes vulpes (red fox), 131 nucleotides long. Its record names the gene SNORA63. It matches the Rfam family "Small nucleolar RNA SNORA63". From Rfam's summary of the family: E3 belongs to the H/ACA class of snoRNAs and is involved in the processing of eukaryotic pre-rRNA and has regions of complementarity to 18S rRNA. The record is from Ensembl. NCBI's taxonomy places the organism in Eukaryota, Metazoa, Chordata, Mammalia, Carnivora, Canidae.